UACGUAGGGCGCAAGCGUUAUCCGGAAUUAUUGGGCGUAAAGAGCUCGUAGGCGGUUUGUCGCGUCUGCUGUGAAAGACCGGGGCUCAACUCCGGUUCUGCAGUGGGUACGGGCAGACUAGAGUGCAGUAGGGGAGACUGGAAUUCCUGGUGUAGCGGUGAAAUGCGCAGAUAUCAGGAGGAACACCGGUGGCGAAGGCGGGUCUCUGGGCCGAAACUGACGCUGAGGAGCGAAAGCGUGGGGAGCAAACAGG
Molecule: ribosomal RNA, 253 nt
Filed under: uncultured bacterium
Lineage: Bacteria
Description: partial 16S ribosomal RNA
Rfam family: Bacterial small subunit ribosomal RNA
Source: RNAcentral